GAUGAAGAACGUAGCGAAAUGCGAUACGUAAUGUGAAUUGCAGAAUUCAGUGAAUCAUCGAAUCUUUGAACGCAUAUUGCGCUCUCUGGUAUUCCGGAGAGCAUGCUUGUUUGAGUAUCAGUAAACACCUCAACUUCCAUAUCUUUUUUGAAAUGGGAGUUGGACUUGAGUGAUCCCAACGCUUUUCCUCACCGAAAAGUGGCGGGUUACUUGAAAUGCAGGUGCAGCUGGACUUUUCUCUGAGCUAUAAGCAUAUCUAUUUAGUCUGCCUAAAAAACAGAUUAUUACCUUUGCGGCAGCUAACAUAAAGGAGAUUAGUUCUUGUGCUGACUGAUGCAGGAUUCACAAAGACGGCUUCGGCCGACUUUGUAAACUCGAUCUCAAAUCAAGUAAGACUACCCGCUGAACUUAAGCAUAUCAAUAAGCGGAGGA
This 432-nucleotide unclassified non-coding RNA is filed under the name soil metagenome. RNAcentral describes it as "partial contains 5.8S ribosomal RNA, internal transcribed spacer 2, and large subunit ribosomal RNA". The stretch from base 1 to 120 matches the Rfam family "5.8S ribosomal RNA", at positions 35 to 154 of the family's 154-position model. The record is from RNAcentral.